AUCCUUAGACUUUAACAACAGGCCUGUCACCUAUUAGAUACUAUAUCAUUCAUGUUGUUCAAAUGGUCAUACUGCUGGUAAAUGUUUUACAUAUGGAAGUAAGGCUAACAGUACAUCUUGAUGUAGUUGUAAUGUUGACAUAUUGCUUAGAUCAUUAAAAAAAGUGAUACAGAUUGAGGUUGUGUUUUUUCAUUGAGAUGUACUUUUUUGAUCUAAUAUUCUCAUUCUCUUGGUUACAAGAAUAUAUGUCACUUACUGUCAGAAUCAAUUAAUAUAUCCAUAAAAAUUGACUAUUUGAAAAUCACAAGAAAACUCAGAUUUGUGACCCCUUCAUUACCCCCAGAAAAAAAUUCAAGCAUGUGAUUAUGUCUAGGUCCCUUUGAUGUCUUGGGCAAAAGAACAAUAGAAUAUUUAAUAAGAUUUAGAGAUCCAGCAGUGGGUCUCAGACUCUAGCUUAUGUUGCAGACAUUAUUGAUGUGGCUUCUGUGCAAAACAGAUAUAGAAUGUUCAUUUACUUUUAUCAAAUAAUGAAUAACAGAGACUUAAUAAUACUGAUAUCUCAUUAGCAUAUAAAUUAUCACCUGAGUAUUUCUUAAUUUAAUAAUGUAUAAAGGUACUAAUACAUUUAUUUAGCUUGAUUUAAAAUCAUGUCCUUGCAUUAUUUUCUGCUUCUAAGUCUUAGACCACAUAUUCAAAACCCAAGACUAUUGCCAUAAUAGAACUAUCACUCAGAUAUUUGUGCUUUCUUUAAAGUUAUUAAUUUCAGCAUUGAACAGAGGAAACCAAACAACUAGUAGGAAGAGUAGAAAUAUAAUUGGCCUGUUUGGAAGAAGUCUACUAGGGUAACAGUAACUAGACUCAACAUGCAAGUGCCAUCAUGAUGAAUGUUUAAAGCGAUUUUUUGAGAGCCAAUUAUACUUUGUGUGUGUGUAUGUGUGUGUGUGUGUGCACGCGCAGAAACUGAAGAUCAGCCAGAUCAGAACAGUUGUAUGCACAAAGCUGUUUUGGAGCUGUCUUUUCAAACAAGAGCUGCAGAAAAUGCUAUAGCAAUGUUGAAGCUUUAUUUCCCUCUGACUCACCCUGAAAGCCCAACCCUGAUUCUGCCUGAGAAGGGCCGUAUCUACUGAGCUAAACCGUGAGUCCUAUGAAUUCUACUAUGCUAGAUGACUGACCUAGUUAUAUGGCAUGGUAUUUAUUAAGGUUUAAUGAGAUGGUCUUAACUAAAUGUUGGAUUAUAAGGGAUAAUUUGUGUCUUUAGUCAAUGUAAAGGAUUUCUAGAGAUUAAUAAAUGUUUAGCUCUCAAGAAGAUAAGGCA
This 1315-nucleotide long non-coding RNA is filed under the name Oryctolagus cuniculus (rabbit). RNAcentral's name for it is "lncRNA (ENSOCUG00000033534.1)". The record is from RNAcentral. Lineage: Eukaryota; Metazoa; Chordata; Mammalia; Lagomorpha; Leporidae.